This 810-nucleotide ribosomal RNA is filed under the name Dinocryptus fulgidipennis. Its description in RNAcentral is "partial 28S large subunit ribosomal RNA". It matches the Rfam family "Eukaryotic large subunit ribosomal RNA", at positions 394 to 945 of the family's 3401-position model. Lineage: Eukaryota; Metazoa; Arthropoda; Insecta; Hymenoptera; Ichneumonidae. The record is from RNAcentral.
AGUACGUGAAACCGUUCAGGGGUAAACCUGAGAAACCCAAAAGAUCGAAUGGGGAGAUUCAUCGCCAGCGAUUUUGGCAGGUGUGCGGUUCGCGAUGCCGGAGGCUGCGGUUUCCGGGCACGCGUCCGCAUGUCCAUUGCCUUAAACGUCGGCGUGCACUUCUCCCCUAGUAGGACGUCGCGACCCGUUGGGUGUCGGUCUACGGCCCGGGCGGUAGCCUGUCUCGUGUUCGCUUCACGGCGUUACGCGGUUCAGACCCCCGGUUGCCCGACCGGCUGCUCGGCGGUACGCGCACGGUAUCUGGUCGCAAAUAUUUAAACUGCGUCCGGCCCGUCGCAAGCGAGGCAAGUGUUUCCCGUCUGUUUAACGGAUCUAAUGCCGGCACCGGGCCUUGCCAGCUGUUGGUUGACGGUGUCCUAGGACAGGCCAAUGCAAUUAUGAUACCGGUCGGCGACGCUACUGCUUUGGGUACUUUCAGGACCCGUCUUGAAACACGGACCAAGGAGUCUAACAUGUGCGCGAGUCAUUGGGUAUUAUUAAGCCUAAAGGCGCAAUGAAAGUGAAGGUCGGCCUCGCGCCGACCGAGGGAGGAUGGGCCGCGUCACGAUGCGGUCCCGCACUCCCGGGGCGUCUCGUUCUCAUUGCGAGAAGAGGCGCACCCAGAGCGUACACGUUGGGACCCGAAAGAUGGUGAACUAUGCCUGGUCAGGACGAAGUCAGGGGAAACCCUGAUGGAGGUCCGUAGCGAUUCUGACGUGCAAAUCGAUCGUCGGAACUGGGUAUAGGGGCGAAAGACUAAUCGAACCAUCU